CCCUUAGAUGUUCUGGGCCGCACGCGCGCUACACUGUUCGACGCAGCGAGUCUUAACCUUGACCGAAAGGUUUGGGUAAUCUUCAGCAAAGUCGAACGUGAUGGGGAUCGAUCAUUGCAAUUAUUGAUCGUGAACGAGGAAUUCCUAGUAAGUGCAAGUCAUCAGCUUGCGCUGAUUACGUCCCUGCCCUUUGUACACACCGCCCGUCGCUACUACCGAUUGAAUGGUUUAGUGAGAUCUCUGGAUUGACGCUGGCUAGGGGGCGACCCUUGGCCAGACUGUUGAGAAACUGCUCAGACUUGAUCAUUUAGAGGAAGUAAAAGUCGUAACA
RNAcentral lists this ribosomal RNA (331 nucleotides) under uncultured eukaryote. RNAcentral's name for it is "partial 18S ribosomal RNA". It matches the Rfam family "Eukaryotic small subunit ribosomal RNA", at positions 1470 to 1796 of the family's 1831-position model. The record is from RNAcentral.